UUAGGAAUAUUCGUCAAUGGGGGAAACCCUGAACGAGCAAUGCCGCGUGAGUGAUGAAGGUCUUUGGAUUGUAAAACUCUGUUGUAUGGGAAGAAUGUACAGAUUAGGAAAUGAAUUUGUAUUGACGGUACCAUACUAGAAAGCCCCGGCUAACUACGUGCCAGCAGCCGCGGUAAUACGUAGGGGGCGAGCGUUAUCCGGAAUUAUUGGGCGUAAAGCGUGCGUAGGCGGCAUGGUAAGUUUAAGAUCAAAGCCUGGGGCUCAACUCCAGUAAGUCUUAAAAACUAUCAAGCUAGAGUGUGGUAGAGGCAAACGGAAUUUCUAGUGUAGCGGUGAAAUGCGUAGAUAUUAGAAGGAACACCAGUGGCGAAGGCGGUUUGCUAGGCCAUAACUGACGCUGAGGCACGAAAGCGUGGGUAGCAAAUAGG
This 428-nucleotide ribosomal RNA is filed under the name uncultured bacterium. Its description in RNAcentral is "bacterial SSU rRNA". It matches the Rfam family "Bacterial small subunit ribosomal RNA", at positions 355 to 776 of the family's 1533-position model. The record is from RNAcentral.